This 413-nucleotide ribosomal RNA is filed under the name uncultured bacterium. RNAcentral describes it as "bacterial SSU rRNA". It matches the Rfam family "Bacterial small subunit ribosomal RNA", at positions 108 to 518 of the family's 1533-position model. The record is from RNAcentral.
GAGUAACGACGUAUCGCGACCUGCCCCGGACAGGGGGAUAAACCCGGGAAACUGGGCCUAAUACCCCAUACGCCGAUGGGAUGCAUGUCCUUUCGGUGAAAGAUCCGUCGGUCCGGGAUGGGCAUGCGGCGCGAUUAGCUUGUUGGCGGGGCAACGGCCACCAAGGCGACGAUGCGUAGGGGUUCUGAGAGGAAGGUCCCCCACACUGGUACUGAGACACGGACCAGACUCCUACGGGAGGCAGCAGUGAGGAAUAUUGGUCAAUGGACGGCGGUCUGAACCAGCCAAGUCGCGUGCGGGAUGAAGGCCCUCCGGGUCGUAAACCGCUUUAGCCGGGGAGUAACGUGCGGAACGUGUUCCGCAGUGAGAGUACCCGGAGAAUAAGCAUCGGCUAACUCCGUGCCAGCCGCUGC